Molecule: transfer RNA, 570 nt
Filed under: Salmo salar (Atlantic salmon)
Lineage: Eukaryota; Metazoa; Chordata; Actinopteri; Salmoniformes; Salmonidae
Description: lncRNA (ENSSSAG00000103843.1)
Source: RNAcentral
UCAUACAUUUUUUUUUUUGUUUUUUUUUCAUACUGGUCCCCCGUGGGAAUCAAACCCACAACCCUGGCAUUGCAAACACCAUGCUCUACCAACUGAGCUACAGCUGGACCCCAGGAAGACUAGCUGCUGCCUUGCCUUGGCAACAGCUAAUGGGUAUCCAUAAUAAAUACAAAUACAAAGACCCAGAUGUGGAUCCACCUGAUAUCCUCCAUUACCAACCACCCUCCAACUUUUCAAUACAUCAUCUACAGCUAUUGUUAUUGUCAUGUUGUUAUUAUCUGCUAAGAAAGUUUUCUUGCCCUAUCAUACUUGGCACAUAAUAUGUGAAAUACACAGAUUAACUAAAAACACUAGCUCUGCAAACAAAGAGAGCAGCAGUGCCUGGACUUUGUAGUCUCCCUCAAGUCCCCCUUCCGAGACUGGCUGCCCGUUGAGAACAAGUGACAGGCAGAACCUCCCACCAACACAGCAACCACCUACUCGCUAUUACACACACCAGAAGUCAGUAUUUCAGUCUAUGAUUGCCAAGUGAGUGUACAAAAAACUGUGAAAAUAAAUUAAUGAUAAAAC